AGCGGGAAUAGCUCAGUUGGGAGAGCGUCAGACCUAAGAUCUGAAGGUCACGUGAUCGAUCCACGUUCGCCU
Molecule: transfer RNA, 72 nt
Filed under: Nicotiana tabacum (common tobacco)
Lineage: Eukaryota; Viridiplantae; Streptophyta; Magnoliopsida; Solanales; Solanaceae
Description: tRNA-Leu (TAA) (tRNA-Leu-TAA-6-1, tRNA-Leu-TAA-6-2, tRNA-Leu-TAA-7-1)
Rfam family: tRNA
About the family: Transfer RNA (tRNA) molecules are approximately 80 nucleotides in length. Their secondary structure includes four short double-helical elements and three loops (D, anti-codon, and T loops). Further hydrogen bonds mediate the characteristic L-shaped molecular structure. tRNAs have two regions of fundamental functional importance: the anti-codon, which is responsible for specific mRNA codon recognition, and the 3' end, to which the tRNAs corresponding amino acid is attached (by aminoacyl-tRNA synthetases). tRNAs cope with the degeneracy of the genetic code in two manners: having more than one tRNA (with a specific anti-codon) for a particular amino acid; and 'wobble' base-pairing, i.e. permitting non-standard base-pairing at the 3rd anti-codon position.
Source: RNAcentral